Capra hircus (goat) is the source of this 179-nucleotide small nuclear RNA. Its record names the gene U2. It matches the Rfam family "U2 spliceosomal RNA". From Rfam's summary of the family: U2 is a small nuclear RNA (snRNA) component of the spliceosome (involved in pre-mRNA splicing). Complementary binding between U2 snRNA (in an area lying towards the 5' end but 3' to hairpin I) and the branchpoint sequence (BPS) of the intron results the bulging out of an unpaired adenosine, on the BPS, which initiates a nucleophilic attack at the intronic 5' splice site, thus starting the first of two transesterification reactions that mediate splicing. NCBI's taxonomy places the organism in Eukaryota, Metazoa, Chordata, Mammalia, Artiodactyla, Bovidae. The record is from Ensembl.
AUGGCUUCUCAGCCUUCUGGCUAAGAUCAAGUGUAGUAUGUUUUUAUCAGUUUAAUAUCUGAUACAUCCUCUAUCCGAGAACAAUAUAUUAAAUGGAUUUUUGAAGCAGAGAGUUGAAAUAGGAACUUGCUCUGUUCACGACCUGAUACUGCAGUACUUUCAGAAACAGUGCACUCCCC